This 404-nucleotide transfer-messenger RNA is filed under the name Anaerolineae. Its description in RNAcentral is "G713 sp011192175 Standard tmRNA". It matches the Rfam family "transfer-messenger RNA". From Rfam's summary of the family: Bacterial tmRNA, also known as 10Sa RNA or SsrA, is named for its dual tRNA and mRNA-like properties. Its role is to liberate the mRNA from a stalled ribosome. To accomplish this part of the tmRNA is used as a reading frame that ends in a translation stop signal. The record is from RNAcentral. Lineage: Bacteria; Bacillati; Chloroflexota. RNAcentral also lists the same sequence under 1 other name.
GGGGAUGAUUGGUUUCGACGGGGAAGGUUGGUUGUGGACUGCAAGUCGGGUGAGCUCCGUGCCCGUGAUCCCAGGAGCAAAAAAAUAUAACUGCCAACAAUAUGGCACCUAAGUGGGCUCCGGUAGCCGUUGCUGCGUAAGCAGAACGAUACCUGAUAACCCCUAAAUUGAUCGGGAAAGCCCGGUCACGCCCCUCUGGCAUCUCGCUAGUGUGUUAGAGUGUGGUGACACAAAAUUAGCGUGCGUUCUCCCAGACGCCGAUAUGGGAAACUAAGUUCUUCGGCUGGCCUGAAAAGGCGUGGUUGGCCACGAUCUUUCAGGUAAGACUAAAAACGCCAACUAUAUUUGUAGAUGUCCACAAAAGAGUUCUUCGGACGCGGGUUCGAUUCCCGCCAUCUCCACUC